This 175-nucleotide ribosomal RNA is filed under the name uncultured bacterium. Its description in RNAcentral is "partial 16S ribosomal RNA". It matches the Rfam family "Bacterial small subunit ribosomal RNA", at positions 319 to 517 of the family's 1533-position model. The record is from RNAcentral.
AUGGGCCCCCGGGGACUCUACGGGAGGCAGCAGUGGGGAAUAUUGGACAAUGGGCGAAAGCCUGAUCCAGCCAUGCCGCGUGUGUGAAGAAGGUCUUCGGAUUGUAAAGCACUUUAAGUUGGGAGGAAGGGCAUUAACCUAAUACGUUGGUUCUUGUGUCCGCGGGUAGCAGCCG